Molecule: long non-coding RNA, 560 nt
Organism: Neofelis nebulosa (Clouded leopard)
Lineage: Eukaryota; Metazoa; Chordata; Mammalia; Carnivora; Felidae
Exons: 3
Source: RefSeq, a predicted model, not a curated record
GGGCCCUGCGUGGCAUCUGGGGAUUUAGAGACGUCCGGCUCCCACCGGGCGGAGGAGGGGAAACCCCGGCAAAGAGCCGGGACUCCGGGAGGAUCCCCUGCGUAUUUGAAUAUUCAGCUCAUUUGGACGUGUUCAGAAGUCAGAAAACUACUGUCAUGCAAGCAGCUAGGAGAGUUUCAAACUUGAAGAACCGCAAAGCAGAACAAGUGGAGAAGGACUUGGGAGGGCAGGUUGCAACAUGCUGACUCCUCUCGGUGCCGGUGCCGGAGAAGACCGGAGCGAUUGGAAAAAGUAUUACAUCAAUGGUAUUAUGGAAAACACUUAAAAAGGUGGACUCCUAGGGGUGCCUGGGUGCCUCAGUCGGUUAAGCGUCCGACUUCUGUUCAGGUCAUGAUAUCAUGGUUUGUGGGUUCGAGCCCUGCAUCGGGCUCUGUGCUGACGGCUUGGAGCCUGGAGCCUGCUUUGGAUUCUGUGUCUCACUCUCUCUGCCCCUCCCCUGCUCAUGGUCUGUUUCUCUCUCUGUCUCAAAAAUAAACAAACAUUAAAAAAAAAAUUAAAAC